Molecule: ribosomal RNA, 253 nt
Filed under: uncultured bacterium
Lineage: Bacteria
Description: partial 16S ribosomal RNA
Rfam family: Bacterial small subunit ribosomal RNA
Source: RNAcentral
CACGUAGGGGACGAGCGUUGUCCGGAUUCAUUGGGCGUAAAGGGCGCGUAGGCGGCCUUCUAAGUCGAACGUGAAAUCCCCGGGCUCAACCCGGGAACUGCGUCCGAUACUGGAAGGCUUGAAUCCGGGAGAGGGUAGUGGAAUUCCCGGUGUAGUGGUGAAAUGCGUAGAUAUCGGGAGGAACACCAGUGGCGAAGGCGACUACCUGGCCUGUUCUUGACGCUGAGGCGCGAAAGCUAGGGGAGCAAACGGG